GCCGGCGUAGCUCAGUGGAAGAGCGAGGGUCUCAUAAUCCCUAGGCCGUGGGUUCGAUUCCCCCCGCCGGCA
RNAcentral lists this transfer RNA (72 nucleotides) under uncultured Candidatus Acidiferrum sp. It matches the Rfam family "tRNA". From Rfam's summary of the family: Transfer RNA (tRNA) molecules are approximately 80 nucleotides in length. Their secondary structure includes four short double-helical elements and three loops (D, anti-codon, and T loops). The record is from RNAcentral. Lineage: Bacteria; Pseudomonadati; Acidobacteriota; Terriglobia; Candidatus Acidiferrales.